GGGCCCUUGGCUUAAAAGGUUAGAGUCCCUGAUUGUCAAUCCGGUGUGUACCAGUUCGAAUCUGGUAGGGCUCG
RNAcentral lists this transfer RNA (74 nucleotides) under Hermanssonia centrifuga. RNAcentral describes it as "Phlebia centrifuga tRNA". It matches the Rfam family "tRNA". From Rfam's summary of the family: Transfer RNA (tRNA) molecules are approximately 80 nucleotides in length. Their secondary structure includes four short double-helical elements and three loops (D, anti-codon, and T loops). Lineage: Eukaryota; Fungi; Basidiomycota; Agaricomycetes; Polyporales; Meruliaceae. The record is from Rfam by way of RNAcentral.